GGGCCAAUGAGGAAAUCUAUAUAAAAGAACACCAUCUUUCGGGACUGAAUGGUCUUUUUUAAAGACUUAAUUUGAUGCUAAUUCUGCAAUUCUGAGGCCU
Erigeron canadensis is the source of this 100-nucleotide small nucleolar RNA. RefSeq annotates it as small nucleolar RNA SNORD96 family. NCBI's taxonomy places the organism in Eukaryota, Viridiplantae, Streptophyta, Magnoliopsida, Asterales, Asteraceae. The record is from RefSeq and is a predicted model, not a curated record. The transcript has a single exon.